RNAcentral lists this ribosomal RNA (253 nucleotides) under uncultured bacterium. Its description in RNAcentral is "partial 16S ribosomal RNA". It matches the Rfam family "Bacterial small subunit ribosomal RNA", at positions 524 to 776 of the family's 1533-position model. The record is from RNAcentral.
UACGUAGGGUGCGAGCGUUAAUCGGAAUUACUGGGCGUAAAGCGUGCGCAGGCGGUUUUGUAAGCCAGAUGUGAAAUCCCCGGGCUCAACCUGGGAACUGCGUUUGUGACUGCAAGACUCGAGUGCGGCAGAGGGGGGUGGAAUUCCACGUGUAGCAGUGAAAUGCGUAGAGAUGUGGAGGAACACCGAUGGCGAAGGCAGCCCCCUGGGUCGACACUGACGCUCAUGCACGAAAGCGUGGGGAGCAAACAGG